AGUUUUAAAAGAGGCAACCAUUUGUAGAGGAGUCCUUGAAGGAUUCUUCAUUGUUUUCUUGGACAAAAAGAGACCAGUGGAUCCAAGUGCUUCAAAUACUUCUCUCUUAUUUUCUUAACUCUAUUGCUCUGCAAUAUUUACUUUACCCUGUUAAUGAACAGGACAAAAUGGUUAAAAAAGAGAUAAGCGUGCGUCAACAAAUUCAGGCUCUUCUGUACAAGAAUUUUCUUAAAAAAUGGAGAAUAAAAAGAGAGUUUAUUGGAAUGGACAAUAACAUUGUUUCUAGGGCUAUAUUUGUGCAUCUUUUCGGAACACUUCAGAGCUACCCGUUUUCCUGAACAACCUCCUAAAGUCCUGGGAAGCGUGGAUCAGUUUAAUGACUCUGGCCUGGUAGUGGCAUAUACACCAGUCAGUAACAUAACACAAAGGAUAAUGAAUAAGAUGGCCUUGGCUUCCUUUAUGAAAGAGAAAAUCAGUGAUGUUAGCACUGUCCUCAUAAAAGUUUCACCGCCUGACUCUAUAUUGGGAAGGAUGAGGAGUUUUGAAAGGAAGAACAGUCAUUGGGACA
Molecule: long non-coding RNA, 568 nt
Filed under: Homo sapiens (human)
Lineage: Eukaryota; Metazoa; Chordata; Mammalia; Primates; Hominidae
Description: non-protein coding lnc-ABCA5-5:1
Source: RNAcentral